This 3714-nucleotide long non-coding RNA is filed under the name Coffea arabica (coffee). Its description in RNAcentral is "long non-coding RNA (CARA_LNC007838)". The record is from RNAcentral. Lineage: Eukaryota; Viridiplantae; Streptophyta; Magnoliopsida; Gentianales; Rubiaceae.
GAGAAAAAAGAAACUGUUAAUAGAAUACUGCUUGUAAUUGCACCGAUAGGAAGACAUAUUGAUCAAGAAAUAGUGAGAAGAAUAGAUGCAACUUACAAGUGGGUAGAGUAUAGUCAUAACUCCAUAGCUAACCAGAGGAGAAAAAGAAUACAGCUAGAAUACAAGGGGAUCCUAAAAGACAAUUAUAAAAAUACAAACGAAUAAUCAAUAAUGCAUCUCAAAAAAACAACAAAAGACUAAAAUAAAUGUAUUCUAAUUGCUUUGAAUUUCAAAGCAUCCCUCACAAAUUAAAAAAUUUUCUUCUGCCAAAAGGCUUCAGCUCCGUGUAUUCAUCAAAUAAAAUCUUCCUUGUUUGCUAUGAGAGACUGCAUAGUGGCUUCAGUGACUAAGAGCAUUAGUACUUUCACAUCUUUUGUCAAUAAAAAAAACUUUCAUUUAAUAGAAACUAUUCGCAUAAAAGUUUGACAACCUCAACCAUUCAGCCGUGUACAAACCAAACUACCAAUGCAGGCGAAGGAUAUAGAAAACAAAAAACAAUGAUCAUCCAUAUGACGCAGGUAAUAAUUUACUUAAUCACCAACAAAUCUGACUGAGAAAUCCAAAUUACCGUGCAAGCAUUAGAAAGGGAAGAACACACACCAAGACCUAUUUAUACACAAAGACAGAGAAUCAACGCCUAAAGCCCCACUACCUUUAAUAAUAUUUUGUCUAGGAAUAUCAUCCGGAAUUAGACUUCUUAUAGCAUAUCACAAAAUAAAAGAGGCGUGCAGGGGAAUUUUUUAUUGGGGGCGGGAAAGGGGAGAGGAAAAAGAGGAACAAGCUGGGGCAACAGGAAUGCGGUAGUUUCAAGUUGAAAAUACACAGUUCAAUGACAUUCUAGUAAUUGUAAACAUGUUAAUAGUAUCAUCAAAUAAACUAUAUGUAGUUUUCUGGAGUGAAAUUUCUAAAGGAGAAUUUGAACUCCAAUUAGAUUUUAGCAAUAUGUAUUGAAACAAAAGGAAAAUAAAAAACAAAAUUUUACCAAAACCAGCAAAAGAAUCCAGUUUGAUUCAAAAAGUCCAGCCUCUAGUCCAAACUCAAAUCCGAAAGAUUCCAUUCAUAUCUAAGAAACAUAAUAUUAAGGACACGAUCUUUUAUCUAAAUUACAGCAGAUAGGACACAACAAAUAAAUAUUAAAAUUCCACCACGUACUCAAAACAAUAGUAAGCAUACAUCCACGAAAGUCGCAAAAAAUUUACUGCCUUUCCAAUAUAGGGAAUAAAUCCAAUAACAUAAACUUGUAGGCAACCUAGAAGGCAAGAGCUAAUUAUCAUUAAAUCACAAGAAUUGAGAACUUUAUCUUCUUGAAAUAUUAAAAUCUAUUUCACCUGGAAGAAGAAACUUAAUAGGAGUACUGAGCAGACAAAAUCUUCAUCAUUUGCACUUGCAAAACCAGAAAAAUACAUUUUUAACAAAAAUAAAUUCAUAAAAGAAUAGAAAAGAAGAAAAUUUGAAAAAUAGAAACCCAAGGCUAAGAAAUAUGUGCAUGUCACCAUUUAAUUUGAGAGCAAGAAGAAGAAACACCAACAUCAUAACAAUCCCUAAAUGUUCCGGAACACUUGACUCACAUUUCAUGUUCAGUCAACCUCUCUUGGUCCUAGCAGUAUGCAACAAAAUUAGCAAAGGCUACAACAACACAUUAAGGAUCUUACCAGGAGUGAACAAGGGACAACUUAAUUCAAAUUUUAGGUUGUCUAUGAUGUGGUGAUUGACAUGACGAUAUGCCCCUUGUAUCCAAUGCUCUUUGCAAUUAGGAACACCUAAGAAAGUGCUUAAAAUGUUAAAUUUGCACCUAAAAAAAAAGGACUUGGGAAAGUGCAACACUCACAAGUGUGUCCGCAGGGAAAUUAUCUUGUGUAAGAUGAAACAAUAAGACACAUGGCGCCUAUUUAGCACAAAAGUUUAUUAAAUCCAUCGACAAACACCAGUCCACAUAAUUAUUUCUUGAAAGGUUUGGAUUACGAGCUAUAUUAUAAACCAAGUACUUUUAUACCAUUAUGGUCCAUUUUUCUCCACAAAUUCGAGUUCUAUGGACCUUACGGGUGAAUACACAACUUCACAAGCACAUCUUUGUUCAAAAUCCAUUAGUUCUAAGAAGAAGAGACAUUAUCACUUGUAGAGCAGCAUGAACCGCAUCAUUAGUAUAUGCCUUCUUCUUACCUUUAUAGCUUAUAAUAGUUGAUAAAGUAUAUAACUUUUAGCUAUCCACUUGAAAAACAGAGGGACUUGCUUAGGGAAACAAAAAACAUAUAUAACAAAAUUAAAGAAAAAUACAUGGCUGACAGCUAAAAUCUAAUUAAAUUAGACAAAGGAGAGAGAGAUCAAAAGACCCCAAAUAUCCCAAUAUGCACACAAUAAAAUGCAGUAUAGCCCCAAUCUUCUAGACUCGUGGGAAAGUAUCAUAACUCCUAAAAUAAGAUUUCGACAUCUUUUUUGUUAUUUUGGCUUCAAAAAAUUCUGUAAAAAAAUUUCACCAUUUUAACAGAUGAAGAAACUGUAAAGAUCAACAAACAAUUAAAUUGCAAAAUGAACUAACUGUAAUUUCUCGUGACCCCUCUCUCUUUCUGGACCCAGCACAAUCACAAAAAACAACCGGUAAAAUCAAAAUAACCAUCAAGUGAUAAUUGGAGACUAAAACUAUAAGGAAAAAAAAUAAAGAAUCACAGCCAAGAAAAAUAUACACAAUAAUAGAAAACAAAACCUUAGAAGUCACCUGAUUACCAUGCACAAGUUUGAUUUAGUCAAAGUGAGUGCGUCAGUGAAAGCUCAACUGCAAAGGAAAACAAAAAAUUUUAGAGAAAGAAAAAUCAACCAAUAAGUUUGCUGAUAUUCUCUUGAGAGCUUUAGCUCAUAGAGAGGGCAUUUAGAAAAAAAAAAAAAAAAGGAAUAGAUUUGCAGGUGCCUGAAAAAAAGAGAAAAAAAAAAGAGUAGCAAAUGUUGGGUGUUCGAGUGUUGUUUAUCUGUUCUAAAAUGAUUCUUUAGAGAGGACAAAACUAAUUACAUAGUAAGAGAAAAGAACACAAAAGUUCAAGAAAAUAACAUGCCUUCAAUCGAAUUUCUAAUAUCUGGGCAUAGCGAAUUUUGAUGCAGACCAUCUAUAUUAAAAUUGGGGGUGUAAAGAAGAUGUCUUUGGGACGAGUAUUAGAGCAGAUGGGUUCGAGGAAUCAUGCGCGGAAAGGGGAAAGAAAGGAUUUUUAAUAUGGUUGAGUAAUCUGAAGAAAAAAUUAUAAUUGAUUAACUUGAAGUAAAAUAAAUGUUUGCCUCCCAUUCACUGUUAUCACCUUGAUCAAUGGAGAGUAAUGGAGCUGGAGAGCCACGAAGAGGAAGAUCUGGACAGCAGCGAAUCAAGGAAAGGGAAGAAGUAAAAAUGAGAGAGAAGGAAAGGAGAAAGAAACCGAGAAGAAGGAUUAGAUAGGAAGGCGCAGAAGAGAUUUUCGGGCAGCAGUUUCAGAAACCCUAUCUAUUGAAUGCGGAGGUGAGAUUUCAAUUUUGUCCUCAAUUCAAUUCAUCAUCUCAAUCAGUUGAGGACUACCAUCAAUCAGUCAAGUCAAUGGAAGAGUGCCACGUCAGCAAUUGAAAAUCAAUUGAAACUUCUUGCAUUCCCACGUAGACUUAUGUUUGGAUAGUGUAUUAUUUGAAAUAUUAUUUGAAAUAAUUACUGUAGCACUUUUUGUG